CCUCUGACCAUGGUGAGGCUGACAUUUUUUUAGCCCAUGGCAGGUAUCUCUCCUACUUCCUCUAAGCAAAUUUUAACACUAAAAAUGCGACCCCUGCGAUUUCCCCAAAUGUGGGAAAUUCGACUGCAUAAUUUGUGGUAGUGGGGGACUGCGUUCGCGCUUUCCCCUG
Suricata suricatta (meerkat) is the source of this 169-nucleotide small nuclear RNA. Its record names the gene U1. It matches the Rfam family "U1 spliceosomal RNA". Rfam says of the family: U1 is a small nuclear RNA (snRNA) component of the spliceosome (involved in pre-mRNA splicing). Its 5' end forms complementary base pairs with the 5' splice junction, thus defining the 5' donor site of an intron. There are significant differences in sequence and secondary structure between metazoan and yeast U1 snRNAs, the latter being much longer (568 nucleotides as compared to 164 nucleotides in human). Lineage: Eukaryota; Metazoa; Chordata; Mammalia; Carnivora; Herpestidae. The record is from Ensembl.